This 628-nucleotide ribosomal RNA is filed under the name uncultured bacterium. Its description in RNAcentral is "bacterial SSU rRNA". It matches the Rfam family "Bacterial small subunit ribosomal RNA", at positions 8 to 649 of the family's 1533-position model. The record is from RNAcentral.
AGAGUUUGAUCCUGGCUCAGGAUGAACGCUGGCGGCGUGCCUAAUACAUGCAAGUCGAACGAGAAAGUUUCUUCGGAAAUGAUUAAAGUGGCGCACGGGUGAGUAACGCGUAGGUAAUCUACCUUGAGGUGGGGAAUAACUGAUCGAAAGAUUAGCUAAUACCGCAUAGUAUUUUUGUUUUUUCACAUACAAAAAUUAAAGAUUUAUCGCCUUAAUGAUGAGCCUGCGUCUGAUUAGCUUGUUGGUGGGGUAAAGGCCUACCAAGGCUCUGAUCGGUAACUGGUCUGAGAGGAUGAUCAGUCACACUGGGACUGAGACACGGCCCAGACUCCUACGGGAGGCAGCAGUAGGGAAUAUUGCACAAUGGGGGAAACCCUGAUGCAGCGACGUCGCGUGAGUGAUGAAGGCCUUCGGGUCGUAAAGCUCUGUUCUUAAGGAACAAACAAAUGAGGGUACUUAAGAAGAAAGGACCGGCUAAUUUCGUGCCAGCAGCCGCGGUAAGACGAGGGGUCCAAGCGUUAUCCGGAAUUAUUGGGCGUAAAGCGGGUGUAGGUGGCUUUGUUAGUCAGGAGUGAAAGUCUCAGGCUUAACCUGAGAAGUGCUUUUGAUACUGCAAGGGCUUGAGUUA